RNAcentral lists this transfer RNA (67 nucleotides) under Marmota monax (woodchuck). Its description in RNAcentral is "tRNA.Ala". Lineage: Eukaryota; Metazoa; Chordata; Mammalia; Rodentia; Sciuridae. The record is from RNAcentral.
GGCUGUGGCUCAGUGGUAGACCACUUGCCUAGCAAGUGUGAGGCACUGGGUUCAAUCCGCAGCACCA